RNAcentral lists this unclassified non-coding RNA (446 nucleotides) under Melitaea cinxia (Glanville fritillary). Its description in RNAcentral is "misc RNA ENSMCXG00005021615.1". Lineage: Eukaryota; Metazoa; Arthropoda; Insecta; Lepidoptera; Nymphalidae. The record is from RNAcentral.
UUAUAUUUGUUUUUUUUUUCUUUAUUUACUUUAUCGGUUCGUGAGCCUUAAGCUUUAUAUAAAAAUAUUGCAAUUAAUAUCUUUAGUCCGCAUACAAAAAAAGUAGUAUAAAUAAGGAUAAAAAUUAUCUUAUCCUUUAUAUUUUCUGAUGAAAAUUCGAAUGAAAAGCUAGCCAUUUCACAAAUUUUCGCUCUGUAAGUUUAGGUAAAUUUGGUCGCAUCGCGCGAGUCGUACGAGCCGCGCAAUCUUAAGUGACGCCAACAACUGAUCAGUUAAACUGAUGCGAAAAACUGAUCGUUAAUGGCCAGCUUAAGAGCGCUGGCGCUCGACUGAUUUACUGGGUUUUGAUGCGUGGUAUUAUAUACUAUCUUUUUAUUUUUAAUACAAAAGGUAUUAAAAAUAAUUAAAUAUUUUAAUUAUUUUUUUAUGAUCGUAAAUGAUGUAAG